This 648-nucleotide long non-coding RNA is filed under the name Nicotiana benthamiana. Its description in RNAcentral is "long non-coding RNA (NBEN_LNC017615)". Lineage: Eukaryota; Viridiplantae; Streptophyta; Magnoliopsida; Solanales; Solanaceae. The record is from RNAcentral.
CGAGAUUCAACAAAAAAUAAAUAGUGACACUAUCGUACGGAAAUGAAAAGAACUCUCCUUUACAGUAGGGCUAUUAACAUGAUUAUCAAACCAUGAAAUUAGUUCCAGUCUUCCCACUCUGUUAUGUCAUGCAAUUUCUAAAAGUUAAGGCAAAGAAACAAAAGAUAAAUUAAUAUAUCACCCGCCACUUAUUGCCAGCUAUUACACAAACUCCAGGUCCAUAGAAUCAAACGAUUUACACAUUACACAAAGGCUUUUACAUAUAUGAACUUCAACUUCGUAGAAGCUGCCGGAGACCAUGCUACCAGGAUAUUUAAAACAAUAACCAAAUUUCUAAAAAAUUGAAAGAACCCAUUUGGAGAAAGAGAAUUACCAUAUCUACGGGAGAAAGGAGGGAUUUUGAGUGAAUAAAACUGAAUGGAAAUAAAUCGACAAGAAAAUAUUAGAAGCGGCGCAGCCGGCGAUGAACCCUGAAAUUUAACCGAAGAGCAUAGAGGAAAUAGGGUAGACGACUGAAGAGGAAAUAGGGUAGGAACGGUGGGUGUAUUCUGUAUUAUAUUGUAUAGGGAGGAAAUGAGGAAAUAAUAAGUUUGGGUAAAGUAAAGGGGGUAAAUGUAAAUUGUAAUAUAGAAUAAGGUAUAUUGUUAC